Gallus gallus (chicken) is the source of this 425-nucleotide long non-coding RNA. Lineage: Eukaryota; Metazoa; Chordata; Aves; Galliformes; Phasianidae. The record is from Ensembl.
CGGAAUGUCAUGCAACGGGACGACUGCUGGAUCCUGGUGUAUUACCAGAGCAUGGAAUGCCAGCACUCUUCCAGGUGUAGCUUCAAGAGAAUGAUCCAUGGUUUGCCACAAGAAGACAUUCGAGCAGAGAAGCAACAAGCAGCAGCCUGGACAGAGGCUACUGAGGCACACAGGGAAGUGGCUCAGCUCCUCCUAGCAGGAUCCAAGGCAGGAUCCAAGGAAGCAGGUUAAUUUACUGUGAGGCAGAGAUGUGUCCUACUGAAUACUAGGCCCCAUUAACUUAAUAUGCUGUGAAGUUCACACCCUUUGCACUAAAAUAUAGGAAACACAUUAUCUGGCCAGUUAAUUCACCUAAGGAGCUGCAGCAAGUAGAGGCAGGUAUUUUCAACACAAAUAAAAUAAGUUUGGUGUGAAUUAACCCUUGA